ACUUGAACUGGACAAUCUUCACCCUAUUCUUCAGGAAGGUUCUUGACUUGUUAUUCCUUCACCCUAUUCUUUGAGCAGACUCUUGACUUGUUACUUCGUCUUCACCCAAUUCUUCAGGCAGGCUCCUGGACUUUCUUUUUCUUUACCUUGUUCUUCAGGCGGGCUCCUGGACUUUCUUUUUCUUCACCCUGUUCUUCAGGCAGGCUCCUGGACUUUUUUUUUCUUCACCCUGUUUUUCAGGCGGGUUCCUGGACUUUCUCUUUUCUUCACCCUGUUCUUCAGGCGGGCUCCUGAACUUUCCUUCUUCACCCUGUUGUUCAGGUAGGAUCCUGGACUUACAGUUUCUUCACCCUGUUCUUCAGGUGAGCUCCUGGACUUUCAAUUUCUUCACCCUAUUCUUCAGGCGGGCUCCU
Molecule: long non-coding RNA, 413 nt
Filed under: Capsicum annuum
Lineage: Eukaryota; Viridiplantae; Streptophyta; Magnoliopsida; Solanales; Solanaceae
Description: long non-coding RNA (CANN_LNC000497)
Source: RNAcentral